RNAcentral lists this ribosomal RNA (253 nucleotides) under uncultured bacterium. RNAcentral describes it as "partial 16S ribosomal RNA". It matches the Rfam family "Bacterial small subunit ribosomal RNA", at positions 524 to 776 of the family's 1533-position model. The record is from RNAcentral.
UACGGGGGGUGCAAGCGUUAUCCGGAAUUACUGGGUUUAAAGGGUGCGCAGGCGGCUUGAUAAGUCAGAGGUGAAAGCCUAUCGCUUAACGAUAGAAUUGCCUUUGAUACUGUAAAGCUUGAAAGGGGUUGAGGUCAGCAGAAUGUGGCAUGUAGCGGUGAAAUGCAUAGAUAUGCCAUAGAACACCGAUUGCGAAGGCAGCUGGCUGGGCCUACUUUGACGCUGAGGCACGAAAGCGUGGGGAGCGAACAGG